GGUAUUCAGCUUACAUUUGUAAGGUUUUAUCUAGUAAACAUCACUCAGCUGGAUGUCCAGUGUGACCUAUCAUUAUUAUUGUUUUCUAUGAAAACUCUGACCCCUAAAAGAUUGGAAGCAUGGAGUGAGGUUACACAUGAUUUCUGCCUUCUCACAUCCUGAUAUGGAACCUACUCCCUGCAUAAGAUAUAAACAUACUCUAAAUACCUCACCAUUCAUAUAUGAUAUUGGCAUAAUGCACCGGGUUUUUAAAGCACCUUGGCCUUUAUGCUUUCAAUAAUAAUAAUUAUUCCCAAUGUAAAGAUACAACAACCAUGGCCUAAAUAAGAUUUUAAGUGACAUAGAUAGGAAACAACCCCAGAAUUGGAGCAUGCUACAUUGACAAUCGAGCCUCCCUUACACACCUUACUGUGUAUAAUCCACUUCUCAACUCAAAGGACUGAGUGAUCACAUCAAUGAAAGCUUGUUGUUGGUGGUGGCGGUGGGGGGGCAGGUUAUAUUAGCAGGAGCCUCUUUUACUUAGUCUUCUUAGCAUGCUGACAAGGCCACUGCUUACUCUGCUUCCUUUAGCUGGGUUAGUCCAAGUACAAGGAGGUCUCAUUCAUUUGUGAAUGCAUUUAAUUUCUAGGGAAAGCAACUCAUGCAAGUGUGCUCAUUCUUAGCAGUUUGCCUUGGGAAAGUCAACCUCACCUCUCCAUGUCUGACUUUUCUCCUCUGUACAAAUGUACAGAGAAGAAAGAAAGUCAGAAGAUUGAGUCUUACUGUCCUGACAGGUAUCCUGAGAUGUGUUAUCUUAAGGGAACGCUUUUCUGGAACAGAAAAGAACUUCCAACUAAUACGGCUACUUCUAAGGUAA
Molecule: long non-coding RNA, 856 nt
Organism: Leopardus geoffroyi (Geoffroy's cat)
Lineage: Eukaryota; Metazoa; Chordata; Mammalia; Carnivora; Felidae
Exons: 2
Source: RefSeq, a predicted model, not a curated record